GAGGAGAGGUCUCUCAAGUGUCUUAUUGUUGAUAGUAAUUUGUUUAUAUUGAUUGUAUUUGUUAAUUUGAUUCUUUGUCAUCAUCAACUGACACACUGAGAGCAGAGUUUGGGGGAGAAAGGUAUCUGAUUUAAGUGACUCUUUAAAGAGUUGAACCAUGAAGCACAAAAAAAAGCAGAAACAUCUGGAAGGCAAGUAUUUCAUCAAAACUGCAAGGAUGUCAAGAGGACCAUGCAACACCCAAGAGGACACGCCUCAGCGUCAGUCACCUGUGGAGGCCGCAGCCUGUCGUCAGGCAGCAGGAGAAAGGCCUGACUUCUCUAAAGGUUUCAUCGGUGUCUUCUCCCCAUUGAAGCGUCCCCGUCUUGAUAAGGAUGGACGAUACAACACCAAAGACGAUGCACCUCAACCAAAGUCACCUGAGGAGACCCCAUCCUGUGGUCAAGGAGCAAGAGAAAAGUCUGCGUUCUCUGAACCUUUCGUCUGUGUUUUCUCACCA
Long non-coding RNA from Eptesicus fuscus (big brown bat), 499 nucleotides. RefSeq lists it as uncharacterized. The transcript is spliced from 3 exons. Lineage: Eukaryota; Metazoa; Chordata; Mammalia; Chiroptera; Vespertilionidae. The record is from RefSeq and is a predicted model, not a curated record.